AACGAACGCUGGCGGCAGGCUUAACACAUGCAAGUCGAGCGAUGUAGCAAUACAUAGUGGCGCACGGGUGAGUAACGCGUGGGAACAUGCCCUUCAGUCUGGGAUAACAGCGGGAAACUGCUGCUAAUACUGGAUAUUCCCUCCGGGGGAAAGAUUUAUCGCUGAAGGAUUGGCCCGCGUAAGAUUAGGUAGUUGGUGGGGUAAUGGCCUACCAAGCCUACGAUCUUUAGCUGGUCUGAGGGGACGACCAGCCACACUGGAACUGAGACACGGUCCAGACUCCUACGGGAGGCAGCAGUGGCGAAUAUUGCACAAUGCGCCAAAGCCUGAUCCAGCCAUGCCGCGUGCAUGAUGAAGGCCUUAGGGUUGUAAAGUUCUUUUGUCAGGGAAGAUGAUGACGGUACCUGAAGAAUAAGCACCGGCUAACUUCGUGCCAGCCGCCGCAGUAA
This 449-nucleotide ribosomal RNA is filed under the name uncultured bacterium. RNAcentral's name for it is "partial 16S ribosomal RNA". It matches the Rfam family "Bacterial small subunit ribosomal RNA", at positions 29 to 523 of the family's 1533-position model. The record is from RNAcentral.